Long non-coding RNA from Pelmatolapia mariae (spotted tilapia), 864 nucleotides. RefSeq lists it as uncharacterized. The transcript has 3 exons. NCBI's taxonomy places the organism in Eukaryota, Metazoa, Chordata, Actinopteri, Cichliformes, Cichlidae. The record is from RefSeq and is a predicted model, not a curated record.
AUUGCAGAAAUGUCACAUGUCGCCAUUUUGAGAACUAGGCCUUUAACAUUUUAAAAGAAGGCAUAAAUUAGGACUAUGAAUAAGUCAGCUGUGUUUAUGCUGUAAACUACACUACUGCUAGUUCUACUACUACUGAUGAUGAUGACAAUGAUGACGAUAAUCGUAAUACUUUAUAUGCUUUGGUAAUACAGGCAAUCAAAACGUACAGGAGAACAUGCGAAGGAGACGCAUUCCUCCACGGGAGGAUGCAGUCUGUCAUGUUUCUGCUGGAAGGGACAAACUGGGACUUGAUAUCCACUACAUAAAUGCCUUCAAAGGUCGGGGCAUUUUCACGACUGUUCCAUUCCAAAAAGGAGACUUCCUUUUGGAAUACAGAGGUAAACUCAUAACAAAAGACGAAUGUGAGCGGAGACACAGAGUUUAUCAUGACAGCCUGAAGGUGUUCAUGUUUGAAUUCAAGUUUGAUGGAAAACUCUGGUGUGUGGAUGCAUCUCAAGAAGAUGGGUCAUUAGGCAGACUUGUCAACGACAACCACAUCAGUCCAAGUGCUAAGAUGAAAAUAUUAAAUAUCAAUGGAAAGCCCCAUCUAUGCUUAUUUGCAAGCAGAGACAUAAGUCCAGGCGAAGAAAUAGACUAUAAUUAUGGUGACUCGGAUUGGCCCUGGAGAUGCAAGGUAUUUCUACAAUUGUACUUUUUGGAACUGAUAAAUUGCAUACCGUAAGCCAUUUUUACAUUUGUACCUACUCAAAUUGGCUUAACGUGACUUAGGGCAUCUAGUUUUCCAUUGAAAUUGAGUAUCACCUACUGUGCCUGGGGUCACUAUAGCAAUGCAGCCGAGCAUCCAGUGAUAUAAAUGCCACAGCA